Molecule: long non-coding RNA, 3201 nt
Organism: Mustela lutreola (European mink)
Lineage: Eukaryota; Metazoa; Chordata; Mammalia; Carnivora; Mustelidae
Exons: 3
Source: RefSeq, a predicted model, not a curated record
UGCCCUCUGGCCCAUCAGGCCCACUUCCGGAGCUAAGAUUAGAGUCCAUUUCCCCUCAGGACACAUAGCACAAACUCAGAACCUGGUUAAGAGGGCAUGGCCGGGAUUCGGUGUGAGGGAGGCAACCGACCCCUGUGCUCGCAAGUGCCAAGAAAGUGGAGAAUUGUGUUCGUUAAGUGAAAAAUGGGGAAUGUAGAAACAAUGGGAAGUUUGAUAAAGCAAAAAUAUUCCUGGUUUUCGCUGAGUCCAAGAUACUAUCAAUUGUUUAUCUGUUGGGCAAACAACCUGGUUUCUUCAACAGAUAAACUGCAAGGAAAAACAUGAGGGAGGAAACCUUAAGACUUCCGAAAGAAAAUUAAGAGACUGAAAGAAAUCUCAGCCAGGACCUCAUUUAGAUCAAAACCCAAGUGAACUUGAAGAUACACAUUUAUGACAUGAGACAACUGGAAAUGUGAACCCUGGCUCAAAUGUACAUUGGUACCAAGGAAUUACUGUGGUUUUUAAAAUGUGGAAUAAUAGAUCGUGGAUCUGUUUAAAAGAAAAGAAAAGAAAAACAAAACAAGAGUCCUAUAUUUUAGAAACAACAGACUAAAUUAUUUACAGAUGAAAAUGACUCGAUGUCUGGGACUUGUUUCCCAAAAAUACAGGAGCCAGGGGAAAUAGGUCAUGAGCUAGUGUCACUGAAGAAGGGUGAUGGGAAGUCCUGAGCUACCAUAUGAGAAAUUCUGGAAGCUUCCAGUAGACCAUCUCAGCUGAACUCAGUCUUCUAUCCCACAUGGAACCUUCCAGACCAGCCCAUCGGCUACAGGAAAUAAAAGAAUCACCCAGCUGAAACCUGCCUGAAUUCCUGACCCAUAAAAUCACGAGAUGUAAUUAAAUGGUUGAUGCUUUAAGUCAUUAAGUUUUGUGGUACUUUCUUAGGCGGCAAAAGGUGGCCAGAAUAGAGCUAUAUAUCUAAGUGACAAGUUAUUUAAGCGAGGGAAUAAUAAACCCAGAAGUCAGGAUGGUGUUUCUUGGGAGAAGGAGGCACAGUAAACUCUGUCACCAACGUGGGGCUCAAACUCACAACCCUGAGGUCAAGAGUUGUAAGCUGUAUGGACUGAACCAGCCAAAGUGCCUCCUGUUUUCUUGUUAAUGGCCACCCUGAAGGGUAUGAAGUGGUCUCUCAUCAUAGUUUUGAUCUGCAUUUCUCUCGUGGGAGAGAGAUGACAGAGGGAGAGGGAGCAAGAAAAUCUCAAGCAGAAUCCCUGCUCAGUGCAGAGUCCGCCAAAGCGCUCAAUCCCACCACUCCGAGAUCAUGACCCAAGAGGACCUACAUCCACCCAAAACGAUCUUUUGCAAAUGAGUGGGAGACAGAGCUUCAGAUAAACCAAAAGCGAAAAAAUGUGUCACCAGCAAACCUUUGUUACAAGAAACCAUUAAAGGGCGAUGCCUGGGUGGCUCAGUCGGUUGAGCGUCUAUCUUCAUGAUCCCAGAGUCCCAGGAUCGAGUCCCACAUCGAGCUUCUUGCACAGCAGGGAGACUGCUUCUUCCUCUGCCUGCCGCUCCCCCUGCUUCUGCUCUCUCUCUCUCUCUGACAAAUAAAUAAAUAAAAAUCUUAAAAAAAAUAAAGGAAAGAAACUGUGAAAAGGUGUCCUUCAGACCAUAGAGAAAUGGCUCCAGAAGGACUUAAAGGGCAAAAGAUUCUCUAACAGAAAUAGCAAAAACUGUACACUGGGGUUUAUACAAUAGUUGUGGAAGUAAAAGAUAACGACAAAGUGACACCGAGAAUAGGAGGGCAGCCGUAUGGAACUAACUAUUGUGUUGGAAGGUUAGUAGAUCUGUGGCGUCACACAUAAAGCGAGAAGGGGAGUUGGGAAGUUGAUGUUUUGGGCGUGGAGUGUCACUCUAAGGAGACUCUCUAGACGAAAGACACAUAGUUUUAACCUAAAGCAACCACUGAAAAUAGCAAAAAGAGGUACAGCUAAGAAGACGUAGCAUGUAUCACAAAGAGUUGUUUUUAUAAAAGAUUUUAUUUAUUUAUUUGACAAAGAAAUUACAAGUAGGCAGAGAGGCUGGCAGACCGGGGUGGGAGGAGCAGGGGGAGCAGGCCCCCUGCUGAGCAGAGAGCCCAAUGCAGGGCUCGAUCCCAGGACCCUGGGACCAUGACCUGAGCUGAAGGCAGAGGCUUAACCCACUGAGCCACCCAGGCACCCCACGAAGAGGUAUUUUAUUAACCCCAAAGAAGGGAGGAAAUUCCCCAGUAUUAGUAAAUUGAUGCACUUCUAAAUGACCCAUGGGCCAAAGAAGACAUUACGUGAAAAUUAAACUUAAAAACAAAUAAAACCGGACUGUCCCGAACCCGCACCCUCGGCCCCUCUGCCCGCACCCCCCCCCAACCCUCUUUUCUUCAAAUCCUUGGCUAAGUGUUCUCAGAAGGUGCAGUCACUUUGUAAACAGCUUUCAGGUGAGUCGAUAAGCCAAUCAGUUACCCUGUCUUUCCUCUUGGAAAACAACCUCCAGAGGGCUUCCAACUCCUGCUCGCAUCUGAACUUGGGGAUUCCCUUUGUACUUCUGUGUUGCGUCCCCUGUUUGAUGGAUCCCCUCUCCCUGUCUUACUUAAUUGGCUGACUCUCAUGCUUUGGUUUCUUUCAUUUUUAAUCUAGGUCUCACUUUAUAGUGUCCAGAUUCCCCCCCACCUUUGGAAAGCUCGGCAUUUUCUUCUCAAGCAAAAUAAGUGAUCGUUGUUUUACGAUCAUGCUCGCAAAUUCUGGUAUUUGCAGCUCUUCUGCAUUUAUUUCUGUUGGCUGUGAUUUCUACUCGUUCUUGCUUGGCGUUGUCUUUAAUUUUUAUGCGUCUUUGUGUUGGACAUUAGAUUUUAAGGAAAUAAUUUGAAGCCAAAGUACUGUUGUUCUCCAAAGAAGACUUUGUUUUCCCUUGGUGCCUGGGGCUCCUAGCUAUCUGAAGUAAACUUAACCUGAUUUCAGGGUGUGAGGUUUUUCUGCUAGGGCACUGCUUCUCAGGAUACCAGGCCAAGGCGGGUGACAGUUUACCAGAGUCUUUACUUUGGCCUGACCCUGGACUCUGACUUUUGUUCCCGGUCCCUGGGAGGCCACCCGAAGCACGUGAUCUCUCAGCUGCUUCUUCCUGGUUGGAAAAAUCUCCCUGAGCCGAAGUGACCUGAAGAGCUGUUCUCAUCUCUCUGGGUUCUUGGCCUCUCCC